RNAcentral lists this ribosomal RNA (477 nucleotides) under Candidatus Scalindua brodae. RNAcentral describes it as "bacterial SSU rRNA". It matches the Rfam family "Bacterial small subunit ribosomal RNA", at positions 365 to 832 of the family's 1533-position model. Lineage: Bacteria; Pseudomonadati; Planctomycetota; Candidatus Brocadiia; Candidatus Brocadiales; Candidatus Scalinduaceae. The record is from RNAcentral.
UUCGCAAUGCCCGAAAGGGUGACGAAGCGACGCCGCGUGGGUGAGGAAGGCCCUCGGGUUGUAAAGCCCUGUCAGGAGUUAAGAAAUAUAGGUACGCUAAUAUCGUAUCUAUUUGACAAAGGCUCCAAAGGAAGCCACGGCUAACUCUGUGCCAGCAGCCGCGGUAAUACAGAGGUGGCAAGCGUUGUUCGGAAUUAUUGGGCGUAAAGAGCACGUAGGUGGAUUUGUAAGUCAGAUGUGAAAGCCUUCUGUUCAACGGAAGAAUUGCAUCUGAAACUACAAACCUUGAGUACAGGAGGGGAGAAUGGAACUUCUGGUGGAGCGGUGAAAUGCGUAGAUAUCAGAAGGAACGCCGGCGGCGAAAGCGAUUCUCUGGCCUAUUACUGACACUCAGUGUGCGAAAGCUAGGGGAGCAAACGGGAUUAGAUACCCCGGUAGUCCUAGCCGUAAACGAUGGGCACUAAGUAGAGGGGUUUU